RNAcentral lists this non-coding RNA (128 nucleotides) under Desulfobaculum bizertense. The record is from RNAcentral. Lineage: Bacteria; Pseudomonadati; Thermodesulfobacteriota; Desulfovibrionia; Desulfovibrionales; Desulfovibrionaceae. RNAcentral also lists the same sequence under 1 other name.
UCUCGAAAUUUCUCUUCAGGUGACCUGAUGUCUUUUGGAAAUUCGGUGGAAAUCCGAAGCGGUCCCGCCCCUGUGUUUCCCUCGCAAGAGGGAAGAGCCAGCACUCCAGCCUGAAGCAUUUCUGACCA